GCCGGGAUAGCUCAGUUGGUAGAGC
RNAcentral lists this non-coding RNA (25 nucleotides) under Drosophila melanogaster (fruit fly). Lineage: Eukaryota; Metazoa; Arthropoda; Insecta; Diptera; Drosophilidae. RNAcentral also lists the same sequence under 12 other names. The record is from RNAcentral.